AAUUCUCAAUCGCAAUCCUCUGACAACUGUUGAAGAUCCGUAUCUCUUUAAAUUGCCAGCAUUAAAAUAUCUAGACAUGGGAAAAACGCAAGUUCCACUUACAACACUUAAGAACAUUCUCACGAUGACUGUUGAACUGGAAAAACUGAUCUUACCUAACCAUAUGGCCUGCUGCCUCUGCCAAUUUAAAAACAGCAUUGAGGCUGUCGGCAAGACAGUCAAGCUGCAUUGCAACAGUGCAUGUCUGACAAACACCAUACGUUGUUGUGA
This is a long non-coding RNA of Mandrillus leucophaeus (drill), 270 nucleotides long. RefSeq lists it as uncharacterized. The record is from RefSeq and is a predicted model, not a curated record. Lineage: Eukaryota; Metazoa; Chordata; Mammalia; Primates; Cercopithecidae. The transcript has 3 exons.